GGGCUCGUGGCUCAGUAGCAGAGCGCGCCGUUCGCAACGGCGAGGCCGCGGGUGCGAUUCCCGCCGAGUCCA
RNAcentral lists this transfer RNA (72 nucleotides) under Microcaldota archaeon. Its description in RNAcentral is "tRNA-Ala". It matches the Rfam family "tRNA". Rfam says of the family: Transfer RNA (tRNA) molecules are approximately 80 nucleotides in length. Their secondary structure includes four short double-helical elements and three loops (D, anti-codon, and T loops). The record is from RNAcentral. Lineage: Archaea; Nanobdellati; Microcaldota.